Molecule: ribosomal RNA, 454 nt
Filed under: uncultured bacterium
Lineage: Bacteria
Description: partial 16S ribosomal RNA
Rfam family: Bacterial small subunit ribosomal RNA
Source: RNAcentral
GAUGAACGCUGACAGAAUGCUUAACACAUGCAAGUCAACUUGAACUUCGGUUUGGGUGGCGGACGGGUGAGUAACGCGUACAGAACUUGCCUCACAGCUAGGGACAACAUUUGGAAACGAAUGCUAAUACCUGAUAUUAUGAUUUUAGGGCAUCCUAGAAUUAUGAAAGCUAUAUGCGCUGUGAGAGAGCUUUGCGUCCCAUUAGCUAGUUGGAGAGGUAACGGCUCACCAAGGCGAUGAUGGGUAGCCGGCCUGAGAGGGUGAACGGCCACAAGGGGACAGAGACACGGCCAUUACUCAUACGGGAGGCAGCAGUGGGGAAUAUUGGACAAUGGACCAAGAGUCUGAUCCAGCAAUUCUGUGUGCAAGAUGAAGUUUUUCGGAAUGUAAAGUGCUUUCAGUUGGGAAGAAAAAAAUGACGGUACCAACAGAAGAAGUGACGGCUAAAUACGUG